AAUAGAGGAACUCAGUCUAAGAACGCCAGGUCCUGUGACUACGGCAGAGUGACCAACAUCAUGUUGU
Molecule: small RNA, 67 nt
Filed under: Lysinibacillus xylanilyticus
Lineage: Bacteria; Bacillati; Bacillota; Bacilli; Caryophanales; Bacillaceae
Description: Bacillaceae-1 RNA
Rfam family: Bacillaceae-1 RNA
Source: RNAcentral